UAUUUAUUUGGGCAGUUAGAAUUUCAAUUCAGGGGACAUAGACUCAGGUAGAAACUCAAAACGUGUUCUGAUUAUGGGAGAGGGGCUCCGGGUUUUUACGGGAAAAAGGGAGGAUGGGGUGAGCUGUAUUACAGAGGAGUUCAUUGGUGCUAGAUGAGGUCAGGCUAGGUUUGUACUUCACUGAUUGACCUGAGAUUCCGUCAUCAGGCAAGAGCCUAGACUUGUACUUUGUUGGUGAGCGAUUCGGUCAUCACCAAGUCCAGGUCAUGAUUCGGUCAUCAUCAGUCCUUACAGACAGGAUAUUCUUGUCCUUACUGACUUCUUGGAAUGUCAGCGGUUUGGUCCAACCUGGGUCACAUGGCCACCCCAAACCAAUCACUGGCAUGAUUCAUCCCUAGGAUGCGGGCCCCCAGCACGUUGCUGAACACUUCUUUCUGCUUCUCUCUCAGGUCUCUGGUCCACAAAAAAUGUCUCUUCCACUGGAAAAAAAAAAACAAAACCCAAUUUUUAACCAUGGAAAUUUGAAGCAUAUUCCAAGUAGAGAGAAUGACGUAAUAAACCCCAGUUCAGAAGAUCCAACUGGGGGAGGGGCUUGGAGUACUGUGACAGUCCCUCCUCCCAAGCAAAGCCCCUCUGAGCCCAGAGCAAGCAUG
Molecule: long non-coding RNA, 653 nt
Filed under: Equus caballus (horse)
Lineage: Eukaryota; Metazoa; Chordata; Mammalia; Perissodactyla; Equidae
Description: lncRNA (ENSECAG00000059704.1)
Source: RNAcentral